Non-coding RNA from Myodes glareolus (Bank vole), 821 nucleotides. The record is from RefSeq and is a predicted model, not a curated record. Lineage: Eukaryota; Metazoa; Chordata; Mammalia; Rodentia; Cricetidae.
CUUUGGUCUUUGGACUUGAUGACACCUACAUCUACUCCUGGGUCUGGGAUGCAGCUCAGACCAGGUAGCAGAGGUUGCCUGCAGAGCCUGUGGAACUUGUCCUGUCCUGCUUCUCUUCCUUCCUUCCUCAAGCCCUCCUUUCUUUCUUCUUCUUUUCUCCUUUCCUGUGUAUUUCAGAGACUGUGGAGGAAAUGACCUGAGCGAGCAGCCAAGAUUCGUGGGACAAUGGGCCGGCACUGGGUACUGGCAUGGGAGUGGCGCCUGCUCUGACUCAAGCCAGGGAGUCACCAGGAGUCCUCAGUGUACCAAUCUGCAGAGUGAACUGAGUCUCACGCCAAGCUCAUGAACUUCCUCAAGAAAGUAAGAAUUAGAAGGAGAAGGAACAUGGAGGGGCCGUUGCUUUUGGAGGCCUGUUCCUAGGAUGACCUAGAGGAAGGACCAGAACUGUCUUCAGCAGCCUUGUGCAAGACCUAAGGUGGAUGACGUCUUCAAUCUCCUCCACUCACAAGCCUCCCUCUCCCAUCGUCCAUCACCUCAAGGUGGUGUGAGCAUAGUCCCUGCUUCUUCUUGUGCUCUGUAGCAAUCCCAGGCAAGGCUGUCUAAUAGGCCACAGAGCUGAACUUGAAGAAGGCUCCCACUGCCUUCCAGAACUCUCUCCACUUUGAAGUUUCUGCUAAGAAAGACUGUUGCAGCCCGCUGACACCGGAACUGCUCUUCUUCAUGGUGAGGCUGGUCCAGCUGACCGCCCCUUGGGCUAUGGGACCAGGGUGGGUCCAUGGGCACCUAAAUACACUCUCCCAGUGGACGUCUUCAAGACAGAC